UACGUAGGGGGCAAGCGUUGUCCGGAAUCAUUGGGCGUAAAGCGCGUGUAGGCGGUUUCGUAAGUCUGCUGUGAAAGUCGGAGGCUCAACCUUCGAAAGCCGGUGGAUACUGUGAGACUUGAGUACGGAAGAGGAGAGUGGAAUUCCUGGUGUAGCGGUGAAAUGCGCAGAUAUCAGGAGGAACACCAACGGCGAAGGCAGCUCUCUGGGACGUUACUGACGCUGAGACGCGAAAGCGUGGGGAGCAAACAGG
RNAcentral lists this ribosomal RNA (253 nucleotides) under uncultured bacterium. RNAcentral's name for it is "partial 16S ribosomal RNA". It matches the Rfam family "Bacterial small subunit ribosomal RNA", at positions 524 to 776 of the family's 1533-position model. The record is from RNAcentral.